GUGUAAAGGGCUCAGAGGGCGUCUUCUCUCCCCUGUGUCUGCCUGCUAGAUGUUCCUCUGCAGCUGAACAGCUGGCAGGCAGCCCGAGAUGGGGCCCUGCUCAGGAAACCCCCACCUCCGCUGGGCCUCUCGGCUCCUGGGACUCCUCAGCCUCCUCUUCAGUGUCUGCCGCAGUGGGACCAAUAGUGAUGGAGGUCCUGCUCCUGGAGUUCAGGAUUCUGGAAUCCACAUUCCUCUGCAGGGGAUCCGAGGAGGUUCUGUGCUGUUUCCUUUGCCCAAGAAGCAAGACGCUGAGCUGGAGGAGGUCACGUGGGGCUUUGGUCCUGCGUCAGAGUACAGAGUCCUGCUGUGAGUCCGUCCUGCGGAAGCUCCCACCUGGGUCAGCCUCCAGGACAGGUACCAGGAGAGGGUCCAUGUGCCCAACAUAACGUCCCUGAAGAUUGAGAACCUGACCCCCGAGGACAGUGGGCUGUACCGGGCUCGAGGCAGCUUCACUGGAGGAGUAGAUUUUACCCAGGUUUUCCACCUCACUGUCUAUGAGCCUGUGCCCAUCCCCCAGAUCCUGGUCCACUCACCAUCCAUCACGCAAGGCUGGUGCAAUGUCACCAUUGAGUGCAGGAUCUCAUGGGGCACAGAGGACCUGAAGGUGACCCGGGAGGGCAAGGGCCUCCCCAGGCAGCUGGAGGAGAGAGUGACACUGGGACCAGCCCCCAGUUCCUGGACCUUGGCUGUGCACCUUCCCCGGAGCCAGCCUUACACCAACAUCACCUGUGUGGUCAGCAACGAAGUGGACCAGAAAACUGCCACCUUCAACCUUGGGGAAGUCUGCCACCUCGGGGACGCCCAUGGUUCACUUGGAGAGGCGAUUGUUGUUUCCCUACGAGGCAUCCUAGGGUCUGUCGUGGUCAUGGUGUUGGUCCUCAGAGGUGGACUGUACCUUUGGAAGGCACACGGGAAGAAGAAGAAGAAGGAGAAGGAGAAGGAGAAGGAGAAGGAGAAGGAGAAGGAGAAGGAGAAGGAGAAGAAGAAGAAGAAGAUGGAGACUGCAAGAGGCAGGUGGCACUUCUCCUUCCUGCCCCAGUUACUUCCCCUCCCCCACUGGACCCUUGGCGCCCUUCCUCCUGCAUUCACUUCUCAAGGAAUAUCUGUGCACAGGAGAUGGUGGCAGUGGUCAUGGCCUUGGGGUACACAGCAGUGGGUGGAGGGUACUGGUUUCCCAGGCCCCGAUUUAAGCUCCAUUCUGUUUGUGACUCAGGAGCAGGAUUGCAGGAGGAUCAUGGGGUCCGUGACUGUGGCAUCUAGAGUGCAGAACUGAGCCAGCAGGAGUCUCUUGAGGUGAGAUGUACCCAGUGAGUACUGAGCAUUGUGCCCAACCUGUGCUCUCCUGGUUCCCUCACUGCCCAGGCCUGGGUUUGUCUAACUCAUGCAUUGCUGUUUUUAUUCCUCCUGCCACUUUAACUCUUUCUGGACAAUACACUGAGAAUUUAACCCUGGGACCAGUGUAUAGACCUGUGGAAUUCUCCAGCAUCCUGGCAUAUUGGACAGAUGCCAACCUUUGUUGAGUUGGUGAUGGAUAGGCCUGUAUUCAGAUGUGCUUAGUUUGCCAUAAUGUUCCCUUUCUAUUCCAGGGUCCUACCCAGGACACCACCUUACCUGCAGGUGCUAUGUCUCCUGAACUCUUCUUGGCAGUUUCUCAGACUCAUUUUAAAGAAUACCAGUUAGGAGUUUUCUAAAUGUCCUCAGUGAAGAUUUGUUUGCUGUUUCUCUCAUGAUUAAACUGGAAUUCUUUUUGAAGAAAUCCACAGAGGUAAAGUGUCAUUUAAAUCACCUAUCAAGGGUACAUAAUAUCAAUAUAACUUAUCCGAUGGUGACCUUGACCUUGAUGACCUGGCCAAAGGGAGUGUUUGUCAGGCUCAUUCAUUAUGAUGUUAUUUCCCCCCUCCCCCCUUUCCACACGCUUCUCACUGGAAGGAAGUCGUUACGUGCAGUCCACACUUAAGCGGUGAAGGUUGUGCUUCUGUCCUUGAGGGUGGAGCAUUUACACACAUACCUACUUGCUAGAGUCGUCUGAGUGAGGAUGGAAGAAGUAAUGCACACCAAGUGCUUAGUCUCAGUGCCUUGUAUGGAGUAAGAACUCAAUAAAUGUCAACCACAGGAAAUACGCCA
RNAcentral lists this long non-coding RNA (2166 nucleotides) under Sus scrofa (pig). RNAcentral's name for it is "lncRNA (ENSSSCG00070027254.1)". Lineage: Eukaryota; Metazoa; Chordata; Mammalia; Artiodactyla; Suidae. The record is from RNAcentral.